AGAGUUUGAUCCUGGCUCAGAACGAACGCUGGCGGCAUGCUUAACACAUGCAAGUUGAACGCAGAAUAGAGCUUCGGCUUUAUUGCUGAGUAGCAAACGGGUGAGUAACGCGUGGGAAUCUGCCUUCUUGUGGGGGAUAACUAAGGGAAACUUUAGCUAAUACCGCAUACGCUCUACGGAGGAAAGGCUUCGGCCGCAAGAAGAGGAGCCCGCGUCAGAUUAGGUAGUUGGUAGGGUAAAAGCCUACCAAGCCGAUGAUCUGUAGCUGGUCUGAGAGGAUGAUCAGCCACACUGGGACUGAGACACGGCCCAGACUCCUACGGGAGGCAGCAGUGGGGAAUAUUGGACAAUGGGGGAAACCCUGAUCCAGCAAUGCCGCGUGAAUGAAGAAGGCCUUAGGGUUGUAAA
This 408-nucleotide ribosomal RNA is filed under the name uncultured bacterium. Its description in RNAcentral is "bacterial SSU rRNA". It matches the Rfam family "Bacterial small subunit ribosomal RNA", at positions 8 to 429 of the family's 1533-position model. The record is from RNAcentral.